This 33373-nucleotide long non-coding RNA is filed under the name Arabidopsis lyrata. RNAcentral's name for it is "long non-coding RNA (ALYR_LNC002848)". Lineage: Eukaryota; Viridiplantae; Streptophyta; Magnoliopsida; Brassicales; Brassicaceae. The record is from RNAcentral.
UCUCUUUGGAGACCUCGACACAGAAUUGGAGGAGAGUUUCGGGAUGAGCCACCUCCUCGCUAAUUUUCUCAUACUCAAGGUGCCAAUGCACAAUACUUCCAAGUCCUCCAUGUUUAGGGGUCACCUGGAUCGUGAUCACAAAGCUCUUGUACUCUUUCAUCAGAUCACCGUCGAUAACUCUAAACGUGAUCAAGUUCUUAUCCGGCUCAACCGCCUCGAUCCUCUCCUUAGCCACCUUUGCCUCCCCAUCUGCACCAAUUAUUUAACAUUUGAUAUUAUAUGUUUAAUUUUGAGACAUAUUAUUUAUGAACAAGAAAUUUAUAUAACAUUGACUUGCCAUGAACAUAGUUCCAAAAGACGAUAGAGCCGACUUUGCCCCAGUCGCCUUCGUGCAGAUCACAGCCUUGAAUGUUUCCUGGAGAUGCUUUAGAGACAUGAUGUGGUUUUCCCGCGAACAUGUGAUGGAACUUCUCAGCUGAAGAUUUGAUCUCCACGUCUGUCUCUAGCUUCCCCACCAAACUAGGCGUCUCUGUUGUCUUCACCUCUUCUUCCUCAGCCAAGAGAUGUUCGUCGAUCUCUUUGGACACUUCGACACAGAAUUGAAGAAGAGUCUCGGGAUGAGCUACCUCGUCGCUAAUCUUCUCAUACUCAAGGUGCCAAUGCACAAUACUUCCAGGCCCGCCAGGCUUGGGGGUCACCUGGAUCGUGAGCAAGAAGCUCUUGUACUCUUUCAUCAGAUCACCGUCUAUAACCCUAAACGUGAUCAAGUUCUUCUCCGGCUCCACCGCCUCGAUUCUCUCCUUAGCCACCUUUGCCUCCCCAUCUAAACCAAUUAUUUACCAUAUCAUAUUUAUAGGCUUAAUUUAAAAUGAUCUCCUGGUUAGUUAUUUAUAUAUGAAAAAAGAUGAAUAUAACAUUGACUUGCCAUGAACGUAGUUCCAGAAGAUGAUAGAGCCAACUGUGCCCCAGUCGCCUUCGUGCAGAUCACAGCUUUGAAUGUUGCCUGGACUUGCUUUGGAGACAUGGUGUGGUUUCCCAGCGAACAUGUGAUGAAACUUAUCAGCCGAAGCCUUGAUCUCCACGUCUGUUUCUAGCUUCCCCAACAAACUAGACGGCUCUGUUUUCUUCACCUCAUCUUCCACGGAUGUCUUUGUAGCUACAUCCGCCAUUUUUCUAACGGCUGGUUUGAUUUUCUUGAGGAGGGUGAGAUUUUUGUUUUUGGUAGAGAGUGAAUUCCCUUAGGACUUGGAUAGCCCUAUAUAUAGAGGAAUGAGUGAGCAUCUCUAGAAGUAGAUGACACUGGUUUAAUUGUGAUUUCACAAUCCCAUUAUUGUGACCCAUAACGAUUCAGUAAGAUUUCCACCUAAAAAACUCUUCUUUUAAAUGUGUAUUUAAGAUUUUUUUGUAUGAAGUCCUUUCUGUUUUGUAAAGCUUCACAUAAUAUAGAAUUAAUUAAGUGAGUAACUAUUAACCAAGAAAAUAACACUGAAUUAUUUGCGUCCUUUCACGUCGCUCUUUUCUCUGUUAACGUUUAUAUAUAUAUGCUCAGAUACAUUUAUUGUAGCUAGUGGUGUUUUCGUUUUGUUUCAGUAUCCCAAUUUUUAUGCGGGUAUAAAUUCUUUCUCUAUUAUUUAUACUAGGUUAUGAACCCCCGCGAUGUCGCGGGGGAACUCAUUUUUAACAAAUAUAUUUGAUUGUGUUUAUGUAUUAAAUUAUUAUGAUAAUAUAUUCAAAAAGUUGAAUUAUUACAUAAAAUUAACUAUAUUUUUAAGCUAUGUCGUAAAUAUUUUCCAAAGAUGUUAAAAUAAUUUACGAAUAAAAAUGUAAAAAGAAGAAUUAUGAUUAAAAACACUUUUGAAACAACUUUUAUAAAUGUAAAAUUAUUUAUAAGUGACAAUAUACAUAAAAAAGAGUUAUAAUAUAGAGAUAAGAAAUUCUAGCGGGUCAAAACCAAAAAAUUCGGAUGGAAUCAGUACUUAGCACGACUUGUGGGUGACUAAGAACGCCUAAGAAUUGGUGUUAUUUGUUUGUCCACUGUUCUUUAAAUAUAAAAUUAAUAUUUAUUUUAUUAUAUAUAUUCGAGAAGAUAUAAAAUUUGAUGACGUAAAUUACAUCUAUAACAAACAAAUAAACAUUUACACAAUCUCAUAAAUUUAUAUUUGUAUUGAUUAGUUAACUGAGUAAAAAAACUUCUUCCUUGAACAUUCAUGUGACGAAUUGGAAUCAUUGCUUUAUUCCUAAUAAUGAAGAUGAUUUAUGAAUUACUAUACUAUUUGAAACUGUUUAUUUGACGCUUACCACAUUUAAAGCGCCUAAUCACAAGCUUCACAUGAGGAUGUCUUCUGAUAUUCGAACUUUGUAAUAGUGCUAAAUCAGAAUCAAUAUUUCGUUGUAUACAACCCAUAUAUAUUGCUUUAAGAUAAAAAAAAAAACAUUAUUGUUUUCAUAUAAAAUAGCUAAAUAAAAAAAGCUACUGUAUACUCAGUCCAAUUCUAAGAACAAAAUUGUCGGUAUCUUCAUUAGAAUUUUAUAUUUAAAGUUGAUUCAAACUUCUCUCUUUUUAUAAUCAUUCCAAAAAACUUUGGUUAAAUCUAAAAUCGGAAGAAUUUUUUUAAUAUUAAAAUGAUUUAUGUUUAGAAAUAGUUUAGAGAAUUAAGAAUUUAGAGCCAUUUUACAGAUUUGUAUUUUUUUAUUCAUCAUGAAACAAAUAAUCUAUGUUAAAGAACAAAAAUUUGGGAACUACUUAGAAAGAAAGACAAUUAUUUAGAGUUCAGAAGUCACGAACAUUUAAAUAGAUAAUUAUUCAUACAAAAAAUUGUGAUAAAAAAAUGCAAUGAAAUAUAGUGAAGAAACGUAUAUGCAACUAUAAAGAUACAACAGUAAACUGAAAAAAAAUAUGACUAUAAUUGAAAAAAUAGAACUGUCUCACAAAAAUAACCGUCAUUAUUUCAAUGAAAAGAUGCGAUUUUAAAAAAUACAACUUAGAAAAAAUAACCGUCAAUAUUUUAACGCAAAAUACCGAUAAAAAAAACACAAACGAAAAAAAGUUACAGUCAAUAUUUUAACGGAAAGUUGCGAUAAAAAGACACAACCGAAAAAAGAACCAUCACCGAAAAAAAAUGACGGUCAAUAUUUUAACGAAGAGUUGCGAUAAAAAGAUACAACCGAGAAAAUAACUGUCAAUAUUUUAACGGAAAGUUUCGAUAAAAAAAUACAACCGAGAAAAAUAACCGUCAAUAUUUUAACGGAAAGUUACGAUAGAAAGACAUAACCGAAAAAAGUAAUCGUCAAUAUUUUUAACGGAAAUUUACGAUAAAAAGACACAACCAAAAAAGAACUAUUGACGAAGAAAUUAUUUUAACGAAGAGUUCCGAUCAAAAAGACACAACCGAGAAAAAAUAACCGUCAAUAUUUUAACGGAAAGUUAUGAUAGAAAGACACAAACAAAAAAGUAACCGUCAAUAUUUUAGCGGAAAGUUACGAUAAAAAGACACAACAAAAAAAUAACCGUCAACGAAAAAAGUAACCGUAGUUAUUUUAACGACGAGUUGCGAUCAAAAAAACACAACCAAGAAAAAAUAACCGUCAAUAUUUUAACAGAAACUUAUGAUAAAAAGACACAAAUAUAUAAAGUAACCGUCAAUAUUUUAACGAAAAGUUGCGAUAAAAAAUAUACAACCGAAAAAUAACCGUCAACAAAAAAAGUAACCGUCAAUAUUUUAACGAAGAGUUGCGAUAAAAAGACUUAACCGUGAAAAAUAACCGUCACUAUUUUAACGGAAAGUUGAGAUAAAAAGACACAACCGAGAAAAAUAACUGUCAAUAUUUUAACGAAAAGUUGCGAUAAAAAGAUACAACCGAAAAAAAAAUAACCGUCAAUAUUUUAACAGAAUAUUUUGAUAAAAAGACACAAACGAAAAAACUAACCGCUAAUAUUUUAAAUAUUACAAUAACACAACCGAAAAAUAACCGUCAAUAAAAAAGUAACCGUCAAUAUUUUAACGAAGAGUUGUGAUAAAAACACAACCGAAAGUAACCAUAAAUAUUUAAACGAAAAGUUACAAUAAAAAGAUGCAACCGUUCAGAUGUGUAUAUGGUAUUUAUUGGAAACGACAUAAUCGUAAAAAAAUAACCGAUUAAAACGAAAAUUGCGAUAAAAAGACGCAACCAAAAUAACCGUAAAAAAAUAACCAAUUUAAACGAAAAAUUGCAAUAAAAAGACGCAACCAUUCAAAUGUGCAAAUGGUAUUUAUUAGAUUGCUAUUAUAUAUAGAUUUAUAUACACCAUAAAAUAAAGUAAUUAUUUAUAACAAUAACAACUUUUUGUCUAUUGGGAAAAUAAUAAAAGGAGGUAAAACAAAGUCAACAAUUUUUCAUGUUAAACAUUAUGGGUUAAAUUUUAUUUUGUGCGGAGUCUACUGUUAUUAUGCACUUAUAUUAAUUUACUUUUUAUGUCUAUAUAACAAUCAAAUUCGAUCGAUGUAAUCCAUAAUUCACAACUUCAUUUACGAAAUAAAUAAUAAUAAAAAAUCUUUUUCGUCUUUCUUUAUUUCGGUAGUCCGAUAUUUUUGUAUUUAUAUUUAUAUCUACCAUAAAAUAAAUACUUAUUUAUAACAAGAGUCUAAUAAUUGUGAAAGUAAUAGUGAUCGAAAUUAAGGUUACGUGAGUACCAAAAUGCCAUUUUAGAUCAUUUCCUUCAUGCUCACUUUUUUUUGGUAGACUAGUUAGGUGUUGAUAUGACGGUAGACAACACUUUUCCCGACACUCAUAUAACUUUUGAAAAUUGUAAAAGCUUUCUCUUAAAAAUCAAUGGAUGCUCUAUUGAGAAGUUGAAUAACACAUUAUCACACGUUUAUCUUCAGAGACAAUAGGUAGGGUUAAGAUCAUCUACAAUUAUUUAAGAUCUGCUUUUCCCGAGAAAGAAGAACUGCCAUCUUUCUAACUUUAGUCAAGUACGUAGUAUUCAUACUCAUAGCAUAAUGACUUUAUAAUCUUAUGAUUAUUCUGAUUUUUUUUCUUUUUAUUUUGUUUGAUUUUAGUUAUCUUUUCGCCUUCUUAUGUCUAAUUUGGCUGAUUAAAUAUUGAUUCUAACUCUGUUUUACAUAUUAAUAUGCUUUAUUAAUGAGAAUAACGCGUUUUUGUUACAUGAAGCUCACAGAACUCGCUAAUACAAGAGUCUCAAACAAGGUAGCAAAGAAUGCAUGAUUCUAACAUUCAUGAUAGGAGAGAGACCAGCCUUGGUAUAUCCACAAACACAUAAGCUUUUAUUAAAACCAAACAUGACAUACACACAUCUAGAGUACAACUCUUUUCUAUAUCACUCACAUAUAUUGGGCUACGCUCCUUGUUUAUUGUAUCAUACACAAGAACAUGCGUGCUUCAUAACUGACAUAUACACAUUAUUGGAUAGAUACUCAAUUAAAGAGUACUCUCUAUUCCUCGUUCAGGAGAUGUUCAUCGAUCUCUUUGGAGACUUGGACACAGAAAUCAAGGAAGGUCUCAGGGUGAGCCACUUUGUCGUCAAUUUUCUCAUACUCGACGUGCCAGUGCACCACACUCCCAGGUCCUCCUCUUUUAAGAGUCACUUGGAUUGUGAUCACAAAGCUCUUAUACUCUUUUAAUAAGUCUCCCUCUAUCACCCUAAAAGUGAUGAGGUUUUUCUCCGGCUCCACUGCCUCAAUCCUCUCUUUUGCCACCUUUGCCUCUCCAUCUGCACCAAAUAUAUAUGUUUGGAUCCAAGAAUCAGUAUGAAUAUUAGUUCAAAACAUAUAAUAAUUAAGCUUAUAAUUUAAUCUAAAAUGUUCUCAUUUCAUAUAUGUGGAUUUGAUUGUUAGAAUCAGAUUAAUGUUUUUUUUCUCUAUAAAAUGGGGAAACGACGAUUUGUGACACUAACUAGUUCACAUGCAUCAAGUAUGCAUUUCUGGUAAGUUUUCCGUCGAUAUAAAUAUGAAGUUUUAAGAACCUAUUCUAUGCAGUUAUAAAUAUUAUAACUUUGACUUGCCAUGAACAUAAUUCCAGAAGACUAUAGAGCCGACUUUGCCCCAUUCGCCUUCAUGAAGCUCACAGCCCUGAAUUUUCCCUGGAGUUGCUUUGGAGACAUGGUGUGGUCUCCCAGCAAACAUGUGAUGGAACUUCCCAGCUGAAGCUUUGAUUUCAACAUCUGUCUCUAGCUUCCCACACAAACUUGAGGCCUCUCUCUUUGCUGGAUUCAUUGCAGCCCCGGCCAUUUUAGUCGCCAUUUUUUUUCUCUUUGUUAAAGUAAUUAAGAGGAUUUCGAGAGAAGAUGAGUUUCUUUUGAGUUCUUUAGCCUCGUUUUGUAGAGGAUUGAGUGCUUAAAGGCUGAAGAAGAAAACAAAUAAUUAUUAAUUGCAAUUUUGUAUCCCGGCCCUUCUGAUCAUGACUCCAUUAUUUUGUCUCACCUACUGAAUUUUUGUAAUGGAUAAGGGUUCAAUUAUGUUUUGUUCAUAUAAAUUAUCAAGAGAUCAUUCAAUAUAACGCGGUUCAGGUUUUGUUCCUUCCGCAAAUUCUCGUUUUGACAUAUUUGUUAUUGGCAUGUAGUGUUGUUGAUCCUUCAGAGAGCAUGCAUGUCGUUCGUUCAUGAAGGCACGUUAGUUCUUAUUAUGCAAAAAAAAAUAACAAUCAUUAACUAUGAUAUCGGAUAAAUAUGCUUCAACCAAAAAAGUUCUUGGAUAAAUAUGUUUAAAAUCAAUAUAUGUUUUUUUUUGCAUUAUUUGUAUCUAAAAUCCAUUAAUAUAUAUAUAUAUAUAUAUAUAUAUAUAUGUUGGAUAGAUAUACAUAUUGACAUAAAAUAUUUUGAAACAUGCAAUUUAAUUUAUCUGUGAAUUUAGUAAUUAAAUCUUGUAAAGUUAAAGAACCAAAAACCUCAUUUAUCACUUUGUAGUCUUGUAUUGUUGUAACGCCCGACCGUCCCUACCAGUGGGCCCCACGUCCUCUCUAGGGUCCAUGAGCCUACCCAUGUCCGACGGCCAGUCCGCUACGUCUGGGAGGUUUUAAAGACUUGUUUACCGACCCUACAAAUCACCACAUGAUUUUUCCCUGUAUUUUGUCCUCACUCACACAGUUCCGAUAAUCACUUCCCGGAAGGUCACCCAUCCUGAAACUACUCCAGCCCAAACACGCUUAACUGUGGAGUUCUCUCAGGACGGUUGACCGAAAAGAUAAGUGCACUUUAGUGACAUAAGUGGCCAAAUCAAUUCUUAUAAACCUCUCUGCAUGUACCACCAUAUUCCUGAAACCGGGGUGUUACAAUUCUACACUAUUAUUUUCAUAAAAUUGAUAUGCUUUUUUAGAUAACAUCUCUGGAUUGAAAUGAAACAAUCUCUUGAUGAAGAAAAUUCAAGGUUUGUGCGGCCCAAACUAAUUUCUGCUAUAGUUAAUUUGAAUGUAACUUAUUCCAACUGUUUGGUUAGAUUAACGAUCUUGUUACAACUUUUUGCAAUGUAUAGAUUCCAAACUGGGCCUUUUAAAAGGGCUUAUGUAUAUCUUAUUUAUUUUUGCAAUUUCAACAUUAAAAUAUUUAAGCAAAAAUAAAAGGAUAGACGACGUACGCUUAUAUAUCCAAAUUGAAAUAUAUAUCAUAUGCUUUUUAUUUAUGAAAAAAUAACAUUAUAAACUUAAACAAAGAAAACAGAUACAUACAUUUAGAGUAUUGCACUUUUAUCACAUAUUAUCACUCUCACACAUAACGAACACAGCUCAUUAUUUAUUGCAGUUUCAAAGAGUAAAAUUAAUCAGCAUGCCUCAAUAUAAGCAUAUAGUACAAAAACAUAUUAUAAGCAUAUAAGAUCAAUUAGGAUAGACAAAUCCUUUUUUUUUUUUUUGCUACUUAUUUAGACGGUUUCACAUUAAAAAUUCGUCUUCAUUAAAAUAAUUUUAUGUUUAGUAGUGUAUACAUGUGUUCCAUGUGAUCCCUAAACCCAUCAUUAUGACUCAUCUGCAGAUUUUGCAUCGUUCAUUAACGAAUAUAUUCAUUAAUCACACAAUUCGCUACGCUACAUUCGUUUGUCUCUACUCAGAUAUAUACUAUUUAUUAUCGGCAACAGGUAGUUGUUAAGAUUUAAAUUAUAUUCUUAACUUUAUAUUCUUAGCUUUUUAUUCCCAAAUUCAAAAUUUCUUAGAAAUAUAUGAUCUAACGAUAUAUGGAAAACGAUUUUUUGCAGAGUUGAGAACUUGAUAAUCUGUUUCCUUAGUUGAAAAACUGUCCUGCAGUGUAACAGUUGAAUGCUGGUUCGAGUCCCAUGAUACAAUUACAAUCUUUCUUCUAUUUGCAUCACUCCAAUUAGAAGCAUAUAUAGGGAACUAAUUAAUUAUGUGUUCUCAAAUGGACUGAUCUUGUUACUUAAUUUAUUGGUACGGUUCUUUACCACUUUUUCUAAUGGAUUGAUGACAAACUGGGCCUUUAAAGGGAAAGACGACGCUUAUUUAUCCUUAUACAAUAUAUCAUAUACUUUAUAUAAUAAGAUUUGGUUAUAAAAAACAUAUAUUAGACAAUUUAUUAAACAAACAAAACACAAUAGAGUAUAGCACUUUAAAAACAUACAACAUUCUCAUAUAUCCAACACAACUCUUUAUUUUUUUCCACAUUCAAAGAGUGAUUUUAAUCGGCAUUCUUCAAUCACACAUGUACGGAUAGGAUAUUUAGUCACACGAGGAGUAUUCUCCUCUAUUCCUCGGCCAAGAGAUGUUCGUCGAUUUCUUUGGAGAUUUCUACGGCAAACUGGAGGAGAGUCUCAGGAUGAGCCACCUCCUCGUUUAUUUUCUCGUACUCGAAGUGCCAAUGCACCACACUCCCUGAACCUCCAUGCUUAGGAGUCACUUGGAUUGUUAUCACGAAGCUCUUGUACUCUUUCAUCAGAUCACCUUCUAUAACCCUGAACGUGAUCAAGUUCUUCUCUGGAUCCACCGCCUCGAUCCUCUCCUUUGCCACCUUUGCCUCCCCAUCUGAAAAAAUUAUUUAACAUUUAAUAUAUAUAGAUUUUACUUUGAGACAUGUUUAUAAAUGAACAACACGUAUAUAACGUUGGCUUGCCAUGAAUAUAGUUCCAGAAGACGACAGAGCCGACUGUGCCCCAGUCACCUUCGUGCAGAUCACAGCUCUGAAUCUUAUCUGGAGUUGCUUUGGAGACAUGGUGUGGUUUCCCGGCGAACAUGUGAUGGAACUUCUGAGCGGAAGCUUUGAUCUCCACCUCUGUCUCAAGCGUCUCUGUUGUCUUCACCUCUUCUUCCUCGGAUAAGAGAUGUUCGUCGAUCUCUUUGGAGACCUCGACACAAAACUGGAGGAGAGUUUCAGGAUGAGCUACCUCGUCGCUGAUUUUCUCAUAUUCAAGGUGCCAGUGGACAAUACUUCCAGACCCUCCAUGCUUAGGGGUCACCUGGAUCGUGAUCACAAAGCUCUUGUACUCUUUCAUUAGAUCACCUUCUAUAACCCUGAAUGUGAUCAAGUUCUUCUCUGGCUCCACCGCCUCGAUUCUCUCCUUCGCCACCUUUGCCUCCCCAUCUGCAUCAAUUAUUUUAUAAUUUAUAAGUCUGACUUCGAGUUUAAUUUGAAAGUAAUUAAGUUCAAAAAUAUAUUAUAGAAAAAAAAUUCACCUGAGGCAAAAAAAAGAAAAAAGAAGUGUAGAAGGUUGGCUUACCGUGAACGUAAUUCCAGAAGACGAUAGAGCCGACAGUGCCCCAGUCGCCUUCGUGCAGAUCACAGCUCUGAAUGUUGCCUGGACUUGCUUUGGAGACAUGGUGUGGCUUCCCGGCAAACAUGUGAUGAAACUUUCCAGCAGAAGCUUUGAUCUCCACUUCUGUCUCUAGCUUCCCUACCAAACUAGGAGCUUCAGUUUUUGCCAUUUCUACCUCUGAUCUGCUUAAUUAUCUUGGGAACAAUUGGGGUUUUGAGAGAGGAGUGAGUUCUCUACUGAGUUCUUUAGGGUAUAUAUGUAGUGGAAUGGUUGAGCAACCGUCGAAGAAAUUAAGAAUUUUAUUCAUUAAAAUAAUUUCAUGACUAGUUGUGUUUCAUGUGAUUCCAAUCCCAUCAUUAUGACUCAGCCGUAGAAUUAUUUCAAUUGUUCAUCAAAUUAUCUAAUCUUCAAUUAUUUGAAUUAUAACUUUUGUUUUCUCUGAUUCAAAGUCUCCGCUUGAAUAUAUGAUUUUGUUUAGUGGUAGCAGGUAGUUGCUGUCUUGCUGACAUUUAUUUCUAGUAUUAUUCUUAAACAUAUAAUUAAUGUUACCAUUAAGGCAACGUUAAAAAACUUACGAUUUGAAUAAAAUGACAGUAAAGUAUGGUUCACGCUAAAUUUGAAAAUAUAUAUUGAGAUAUUUAUUAAUUAUGUUACGAGUCCCACCGUAUCACUAGAGGUGUCAAAAUGAGCUAGCUCGCUCAAUUCAGCUCAGCUCAUGAUGAACUCGGGCAUUUCAUGAGCUAGUUCAGCUCAGCUCAUUUAUUAGAUGAGCUUUAAUAUAUAAACUCGGACUCAGAUCAUCUUAGUCGUGAGUUAAAUGAGCUAGCUCGCGAGCUCAUAACAAAUAAAUAUAAUAACAAAAAUAUUGUAAAUUUUUUUAAAAAAAUUUAAAAUAAAUCCAAUAACAUAAUUAAUUCUAAAGUUAAAUAAUGGAAAUAAAUCCAAGAAAAAAAUAAUCUCAAAACACAAACUUUCUAAUAGAAUAACUCUAGUUUUGUUUAAUUUAAAUGGAAAAGAUAUAUAUGCUUCUGUUGACAUUUUGUAUAUAUUUACAAUAUAUAUAUAUUUCUAAAAAAGCCGAGCUCAUGAACUAGCUCAUGUUCAUUAAAGCUCGCUCAUAUAACUCGCGAUCUAAAAAAAGCUCGAUCACAUAACUCAUUUUUAAAUGAGCCUAAAAACCAGAGCUCGUGCUCAUGAAAAAUCGAGCUGAGCUGAGCCAACUCAUGAGUUGCUAGCUCAUUUUAACACCCAUAACUUUAAGUAAUGUUUUAGGGAAAUUUUUUUUUAUUUCAAGUGAUGUUUCCAUUUUUUAUGCAAAAACUAAAUAUUUUUUUUUUGACUAAUCAUAUUUACAGUAUGUUUUUAUGUUAAAGAGAUAAAUUAAAUGAAAAUUACGUGUUUUCUUAAUUUUUGUGUAGAAAUAUUAUACAGAUAUUCGAUAAAUAUGAUUAAAAAUACUAUUUUAUGUUUUUUCUUAGUGUCAUCUAAAUUCCGUAAAAGGCAGAAAUAUAUACUGACAUUAAAAAUAUUAAAAACCUUAGAAUUUAAUCUAACAAUAUUAUAAAUAAAAAUGAAUGAUUAAACAACUAAAACCUCAUUUAUCACUUGUACACUUUUAUUUUCAUAAUCUAUGCCUAUAAUUCUACUUUGAUUAUUAUAUUAUAUGCAAUAAUCACAUUAUUUUAGUUGAUGCAAUGAUUGAUAAUCUUAAGACACAAUCUCUUAUUCGCAUUAUUUAGUUGACAAAAUCUUUAUUUGAUCCAUAAUUUGUGAUGACUAUCGUUCGUUACAUAAGUAUAUUUUUUCUCUUGGUAUAAAUGCUUCAUUUAAUCUCCAUAAAAAAUGAUACGAAAGGGUUUAUCAAAUCAUAUAUCAGAUGCUUUUUAGUUUUAUUAAUAACAAACAUCAUACACAUAUUUAAUUAGAGCGCUUUCAUUUCAUCACUAACAUACAUGGAACACAGCUUAUUCAUUGCAUACAAAAUUACAAACACACACCGACAUAUAUCUCUUACCCAAACUCGGACAAAGCUCAUGAUUUAUUGCAAUUUCACAAACUAGCUUAAGCAUUUAUGCUUAAGACGUAACAAAGCCACACGAGGAGCAAUUCACACUUCUUCGGUCAAGAGAUAUUCAUCGAUCCCUUUGGACAUAUCGACACAGAAUUGGAGAAGAGUCUCAGGGUGAGCCACCUCCUCGCUAAUUUUCUCAUACUCAAGGUGCCAGUGCGCAAUACUCCCUGAUCCUCCAUGCUUAGGGGUCACUUGGAUUGUGAUCACAAAGCUUUUAUACUCUUUCAUCAGAUCACCAUCUAGAACUCUAAACGUGAUCAAGUUCUUCUCCGGCUCCAACGCCUCGAUCCUCUCCUUUGCCACCUUUGCCACCCCAUCUACACCAAUUAUUUAACAUUACAUUUAUGUAGGUUUGACAAUCAAAACAAGUUUCAGUUUAAAAACAUCAUGAUAUUAUUGUCGAGGAUAUCUAUGUAAAGAUUUGUUUUCCGGUAUACUUAUUUUUUUUGGUUUUUGGUUUAGAAUUCUCUAGUUAUUUAAGCAAAAAAAAUUAAGUGAUAGUAAGAGUAGUUUAGUGAGUCUAAUCAACUUACCUAAGACACGUCGAUCUUUUGAAACUACAGAAUUUAGACGGUUGCUUACCUCGAAAAUUAGUCUUAAUUAAUUUUGGUUUAGAAUCCACCUAUACUUAAAAAUGUGUAUAAAUUUGACUUGCCAUGAACGUAGUUCCAGAUGACGACAGAGCCGACUUUGCCCCAUUCGCCUUCAUGCAGUUCACAGUUCUGAAUGUGGCCUGGAGUUGCUUUGGAGACAUGGUGUGGUUUCUCCACGAACAUGUUAUGAAAUUUUCCAGCUGAAACUUUGAUCUCCACGUCUGUCUCAAGCUUCCCCACCAAACUAGAAGCCUUGGUUUUUGCCAUUCUUUGUACUUUCGAUCUGCUUAUCUUGAGAAAAAAGGGUUUUGAGAAAGGAGUGUGUUACUGAGUUCUCUUCUGAAUUUCUAUUUGUAGAGGAAUGGUAGAGCAACCUUAGAAAAAAGAAAUUUUUUAUUCAUUAUAAUAAUUUCAUGAUUACUUGCGUUUCAUGUGAUCCGGGAUCACAUCAGUAUGACUCAGCUGUAGAAUUAUAGAUUGGUUGAUAAAUAUUAACUUUUUUUUUUAAUAAAAGAUAAAUAAAAAUAUUAAUCUUAACGCACUAUAUUUUACCUUCUAUAUUAUUCACACUAUUUAUUUAAUCAAUACUUUAUGAGGACUUUGCUUCAUUAGAUUCUGUUCUCUUUUGGUAUAAUGCUUCAUUACAUCUCCAUAGGAUACGACAGGGUUCUUUAAUGUAUGUGGUAGAAAUAUUUUGUUAAAAACACAUGUUUUAUAAUACUCUUUCCGUAUCACAGUAAGUUAUGUUUGAGCAAAAAUAUUUGUUUCAUUAAGUGAUUUUUUAUAUUCUUAAAACAUUUUUUUUAUGUCUUAAUUAUGAUUAAUUGUAUUAUUUCAUUUAUUUUGUUACUGGUUAAAUUGUGUUUAGGUAGAUAAUAAAUAAUGGUUUAUUUUGAUACAAAAGGAGUAAUAAAUACAAAAAAAAAAAUUAUUUCCUAAUCUAUUUGCGAAAACCUUAAAAUCUUUUAUUUUGAUACAAAAGAAGUAAUAGCAAACAUUAUAUACACACAAAGUAGAGCUAGCGCUUUCAUUUCAUCAACACAUAUGGAACACAUCUCAUUAUUUAUUGAAUACAAACAUGCAGGGCCGGUCCAACGUUUUCGGAUGCCCUACGUAAAUUAAGAAAAGCAUACCUUUUUUUCCAUUUUUAUACAAAAAUUUUUUUAACCUAUGCUCACUUGUUAAUUUACUUUAUCUUUUACAUUUAUUUAGUAAGGUUAAUUGAUCCUAAACUAUUAAAACUCUUUUGUAAAUUAACUCUUCAUUUGCUGGAAAAAAAUAAAAUAAAAACUUUAUUUUUAAUAAAAUUCACGUAUUUAUCAAAAAAUUAUCUUAGAAAAAGAGUAGAUUAUAGACAAAAUUAUAUUUUGUUAAGUUAAACCCCACGAAUAUGAUUAAAAGAAGCCCACCAAAAUAUUGAUCUUUUUAAAAAGAGGUUUAUAAUAUAAUUUAUAUAUAUAAAACUUUAAGAAAAUUGGCCUAAAAAAUGCCCCCAAAAUUUUGAUGCCCUAAUCCUUUGCUUCACAUGCUUGGCCUAUAAGCCGGACCUGCAAACAUGCAUAUGACACACCAGCAUAUAUAUCUCCUACCCAAACUUGGACACGGCUCAUGAUUUAUUGCAGUUUCAAAGACUAAUUUCAGCAGACAUGCUUAAGACGCACAAACUCAGAAAGCCACACUAGGAGCAAUCUCCACUUCUUCGGUCAAGAGAUAUUCAUCGAUCCCUUUGGACAUUUCAACACAGAAUUGGAGAAGAGUCUCAGGGUGAGCCACCUCUUCGCUAAUUUUCUCAUACUCAAGGAGCCAGUGCACAAUACUCCCUGGCCCUCCCUGCUUAGGAGUCACUUGGAUUGUAAAUGUGAUACUCUUAUACUCUUUCGUCAUAUCACCUUCUAGAACCCUGAAUGUGAUCAAGUUCUUCUCCGGCUCCAACGCCUCGAUCCUCUCCUUCGCAACCUUUGCCUCUCCAUCUAUACGCGAAUUAGUUAGAUCAUUAGAUUCGAUUCUGAGAAUAAACAUUAAUGUCGGUUCAAAAUCCUCAGCAUAUAUAAAUAUAAUGUAUGCAAAUACCAUCAUUCGCAUCUAUACAUUAUAUAUGAUGUGAAUAUUUUUUUUUAACUAGUUAGAUAAUAUAUGUAGCGUACCUCCUAUGAAAAUUUAAUUUUAAGGUUUGGAAUUAUCUUGUUUUCAAAAUAGAAUAAGUGAUAGUAGUUUAGUGACAGUCGAAUAUCAACUUACCCUAGCUAGACACAUUGCUUGCUACCACAGAAUUUAUAGUCUUAGUUAUUUUCGGCUUAGAAGCCACUGACUAUUAAAAAGUGUAUAAAGUAAUUACUUGCCAUGAAAGUAGUUCCAGAUGACAACGGUGCCGACUUUGCCCCACUCGCCUUCAUGAAGCUCGCAUCCCUGAAUGUGGCCUGGAGCUGCUUUGGUGAUAUGGUGUGGUUUCCCUGAGACCAGGUGAUGAAACUUUCCAGCCGAAGAUUUGAUCUCCACUUCUGCCUCAAGCUUCCCCACCAAACUAGAAGCCUCGGUUUUUGCCAUUCUUUGUGUUCUCGAUCUGCUUGUCUUGAGAAAAAGGAAAUAGGGUUUGUGAGAGAGGAGUGAGUUACUUCUUUAGCCUCUUUGUAGAGGGAUGGUUGAGCAACUAUUGAAAAAAUUAAAAGUUUUAUCCAUUAUAAUAACUAGGUUAUGAACCCCGCGAUAUCGCGGGGCACUCAUUUUCAACAAAUAUAUUUUAUUACGUUUAUGUAUUAAAUUAUUAUUAUAACAUAUUCAAAUAAUUAAAUUAUUAUAUAAAAUUAACUAUGUCUUAAAGUUAUAUCGUAAAUAUUUUCUAAAGAUAUUAAAAAAAAUUAUAAAUAAAAAUGUAAAAUAAUGAUUAAAAAACACUUUUGAAACAUUUUUUGUGAAUAUAAAAUUAUUUAUAAGUGAAAAAAAUAACUAACGAAGAGUUAUAAUAUAGAGAGGAAAAAUUAUAGCGGGUCAAAACCAAAAAGAUAUAAAAACACAACCAGAAAAAUAACCGUCAACACAAAAAGUAACCGUCAAUAUUUUAACGAAAAGUUGCGAUAAAAAGACAUAACCGAGAAAAAAUAACCGUAGAUAUUGUAACGGAAAGUUGCAAUAAAAAAACACAACCGAAAAAAAAUAACCAUCAAUAUUUUAACGAAAAGUAGCGAUAAAAAGACACAACAAAAAAGUAAAUGUCAACAUUUUUACGAAAAGUUAUGAUAAAAAGACACAUCAGAAAAAAUAACUGUCAACGAAAAAUAUAACCGUAAAUAUUUUAACGAAGAGUUACGAUAAAAAGACACAACCGAAAAAAAAUAACAGUCACUAUUUAAACAAAAAAUUUCAAUAAAAAGACACAAACGGAAAAAAAUAACCUUCAAUAUUUUAACGAAGAGUUGCGAUAAAAAGACACAACCGAGAAAAAUAACCGUCAAUAUUUUAACGGAAAGUUUCGAUAGAAAGACACAACCGAGAAAAAGAAACCGUCGAUAUUUUAACGGAAAGAUACGAUAAAAAGACAAAAACAAAAAAAGAAACCGUCAAUAUUUAAUUUUAACUGAAAGUUACGAUAAAAAGACACAACCGAAAAAAUAACCAUCAAUGAAAAAUUGUAACCGUAAAUAUUUUAACAAAGAGCUAGGACAAAAAGAUAAAACUGAAAAAAAAUAACCGUUAAUAUUUUAUCGAAAAGUUGUGAUAAAAAGACACAAACGAGAAAAGUAAUGUUAAUAUUUUAACGGAAAGUUGCGAUAAAAAGACACAACCCAAAAAAUAAUAGUCAACGAAAAAAAGAACCGUCAAUAUUUUAACGAAAAGUUGCGAUAAAAAGACACAACCGAGAAAAAAUAACCGUCAAACUUUUAACGGAAAGUUGAAAUAGAAAGACACAAACAAAAAAAAUGACCAUCAAUAUUUUAACGGAAAGUUACGAUAAAAAGACACAACCGAAAAAAUAAUUGUCAACGAAAAAAAUAACCGUCAAUAUUUUAACGAAGAGUUGCGUUAAAAAGAUACAACCGAGAAAAAAAAACUGUCAAUAUUUUAGCAAAAAAUUACGAUAAAAAGAAACAACCGAGAAAAAUAUAACCGUCAAUAUUUUAACAGACAAAAAAAGACACAAUCGAGAAAAAAAUAUCGUCAAUAUUUUAACAAAAAGUUAUGAUAAAAAACAGAAAUGAAAAAAGUAACCGUCAAUAUUUUAACAGAAAGUUGCGAGAAAAAAACACAACCAAAAAAAUAACCGUCAAUGAAAAAAGUAACCGUUAAUAUUUUAACGAAAAGUGCGAGAAAAAGACACAACCGAAAAAUAUCCGUCAACUAAAAAAUUAACCGUCAAUAUUUUAACGAAGAGUUGCGAUAAAAAGACACAACCGAGAAAAAAUAACCGUCAACAUUUUAACGAAAAGUUGCGAUAAAAAGACACAACCGAGAAAAAAUAAUCGUCAAUAUUUUAACGGAAAGCUGCGAUAAAAAGACACAAACGAAUAAAGUAACAACCAAUAUUUUAACGGAAAAUUGCAAUAAAAAGACACAACAAAAAAAAACUCGUCAAUAUUUUAAUGAAGAGUUGCGAUAAAAAACAGACCCGGAAAAAUAACCGUUAAUAUUUUAACGGAAAGUUACGAUAAAGAGACACAACCGUUCAGAAGUGCAAAAUACAUUUAUUGAGGUUGUUAUUUUGGUUAAUAAAACCAAUUUGAUAUGUAGUCUAAUGGUUGAUGUAAAAAAACUUCGUAGUAUUACUAACUAUACAAAAAAUGCAAUGAAAUUAUAUAAUGGAAAGACGUAACUUUAAAUGAAUAAAUGCAACUAUAAAGAUAUAACUGUAAACUGAAAAGAUACGACUGUAAUUGAACAAAUAUAACCGUAAAUAAUUCAACGAAAAUUCAAAGAGAAAAUUCAAUAAAAAGACAUAACCGUAAAAAAAUUACCGAUUUAAACGAAAAGUUGCGAUAAAAAGACGCAACCGUUCAGAUGUGCAAAUGGUAUUUAUUAGAUUGCUAUUAUAUAUAGAUUUUCAUGACAACUUGCGUUUCAUGUGAUCCCGAUCCCAUCAGUGUGACUCAGCUACAAAAUUACUUGUAUCAACCGUUCGUAAUACGAUAGACUCAUCAACAUGAUUCAUCAUUCACGUACGACGCAACUUUCGAUUUUCGCUGUUGUCAAGUCUCUGCUCAUUUUUUUAUUUUUAAAAUAUUUUAAAGAACUUUCUUUAUUCACGUUUUCAUCCUUAUACAUUUUUGCUCAUAUUAAUGUAAUCACCAUGUACCGUAUUUGUCAUAGGAAAAAAGAUGGUUGGCUACACGAAGUAUGCUACAAUACAUGACCACACAUUCGAAGUUUAAAAAUGUAUCCCUAACUACACAAACUAUAUGUAUCGCAUGCCCACAUAUACGAACUAUAUGUAGUCAUGUCGCCAACAUCACAAACAUGUUAUUCCGAUACCUUUUUCGCCGGAAUCUGGUAUGGACCAGUUUGACCGGCGUUGGACCGUCGUUGACCAACAUAAAUAUUCAAAAAAAAAAAAAUUUAGUUUUUGGAAUAUUUAGAAAAUUAGGUUAUGUGACUCAUAUAAAAUUAUAUAUAAAUUUACCAUAUAUAUUACACAUAUACUCAUAUAUAAAUAUAUUGUAUAUAUAUACUCUACCCUUAAAUUUAUAAAUUAGGUUAAAUUUGAGAAAUUCCAAACUAAACUAAAAAUAAAAUAAAAACCAAUUAGGUAAAAUAAUUGUAAAUAUGAAAUUUUCUAUACUCUCUAGUCUAAAGUUUUUUGUAUAAUAUGUUGUUAAUUUUUGUAUCUAAAAUUAUUACAAAAAAUUCUUUUAAUAAUACAAAAAAAAUUAACAAAAUAUUAUAAAAAAAACUUUAGACUAGAGAGUAUUUAAAAUUUUCUAUUUAAAAUUAUUUUACUUAAUUGGUUUUUAUUUUAUUUUUAGUUUAGUUUUGAAAUUAUUGAAACUAACUAAUUAUAAAAAUCAAUGCAUUGAAUAUAUAUACAAAAUAUUUUUAUAUUGAAUAUUGUAUAUAUUUUUUUAAUUAUACAAUUUCCCUAUUAUAAAUGAUUCAAUAACAUAAUUUUCUAAAUAUUAAAAAACUAAAUUUUUUUUUUUUAAUAUUUAUGUUGGUCAACGCCGGUCAAACUGAUCAAUGCCGGAUUCCGGCGUAAAGUGUACCAGGAAAAAAUGUUCGUGAUGUUAGCGAUAUGACUACAUAUAGUUCGUAUAUGUGGGCAUGCGAUACAUAUAAUUUGUGUAGUUAGGGAUACAUUUUUAAACUUCGGAUGUGUCGCCAUGUAUUAUAGUAUACUUCGUGUAGCUAGGUAUCUUUUUUCCAUUUAGAUAUGUUUUUUAUUGAUAGCGUCAUUAGAUAUGUUCUUUAUUAUAAAACCAAAAUUUGAGAACAUGAACAUAAACCAAUUGUAUGGCACCAAAGUCCGACUCCUAUCCAUGGAUUAUACUGAGCUUAGUGUCCAAAAAAAACACAAUUUAAGAAAUCCAAAAUUCACAAAAAAAAAUGUCUCUUUUUAAAAAAGAAAUAUAUAUACAAAAUUUCACAAAAUAUUUCUAAUUUUGUUUUUAAUUUUAAGAAAUCUUACUAAAUCAGUCUGAACAAAACUUGAAAAAGCAUUACAUUUAUGGGAAAAAAAAUCAAUAAUAUUCUGGGAUAUUCAUGGUGAACAAUAUUUUUUUUUUAAAAAAGAAAAAUUGGAAAAGGAUGUGGAUGUGGAUAGGGAUGGACAUAACUUACAAUUUUAUCAAUCAUAAAAUAUAUCUGCCAGGUGACGUGCCGACAAUUUGAAAAGGUAUUUGGUAAUCGUCACAGUCGGUUAGAAUUAUCAAUUGUUAUGUGUUGGGUGAAAUUUGGUAAUGUAUUACUACCCAAAAAGCCAAUGACAAUCAGAUCAAGAGUUUAUUAUUCAAUUUGAUGGAUAAUCUUAUAGUUCUUUUUUAUAAUUUUUUUUUGGGCAAAGAUAAUCUUAUAGUUUAUGGGCACGGGUGGUGAGAUCAAAGUAUAAAGUGGCGGACAUUCAUGAUGAAUCAUGGAUGGUUGUAAAGGGUACGUGGUCAUCGACUUGGCGCAGCGUUGGAGUCGGCCUGAGAGAAGUGGUUGUUCCGGAGUUAACAUGGAUUCUAGGUGAUGGAAAGGAAAUCAGAUUUUGGAGAGACAAGUGGCUUGCCGGGGUACCUCUUCUCGAAGCUGCGGUGACUGAGCUACCAACGGGGUUUGCAGAAAUCAGAGCAAGGGAUCUAUGGAUUGACGGGUUGGGCUGGGACAUGUCACGGAUUGCUCCAUAUGUCUCGAGAAAUACAGUGUUGAGACUCACUGCGGUCGUCUUAGAUGGAGUCACCGGUGCGACGGAUAGACUCUCUUGGGGACUAAAUCCGGAUGGCAAAUUCACAGUCAAGUCAGCUUAUGCAGCGAUAACACGAGACAGAACUCCGAGGCAGAACAUGAGUGCGUUUUACAAUCAAAUUUGGCGAGUUGUUGCACCGGAACGAGUUCGCACUUUUCUCUGGCUUGUUGUGAAUCAAGUGAUAAUGACAAAUAUGGAAAGAUUAAGAAGACAUCUCAGUGACACGAGCCUAUGCCCGAUUUGCAGAAGUGGAGAGGAGAGUAUCCUUCAUGUGUUGCGAGAUUGUCCAUCCAUGGAAGGUAUUUGGCGCCGGCUCGUUCCACAGCGGAGAAGAGCUGCUUUCUUUGCUAGCUCGUUACUUGAGUGGGUCUACAAAAAUUUAAGUGAUACGUCGGAAGUAGAAGGGAGACCUUGGGCUACACUUUUUGCAGUCUCUAUAUGGUGGAGUUGGAAGUGGAGGUGUGGAAACGUGUUCGGGAAUAUAGCUAAAUGCAGGGACCGAGUAUGCUUUCUUAAAGACCUCGCAGUGGAGGUACAAAAAGCAAAUCUUGCGAUAACAGAGGAGGAGCCGAGGAGAACGGACAGAGAAUUGAGAAUGGUAGCAUGGGUUCCACCAUGUGUAAGUUGGACAAAAUUGAAUACCGAUGGAGCUUCUAGAGGUAAUCCCGGUUUGGCAACAACGGGAGGUGUAUUGCGUGAUGGGGAAGGGAAUUGGAUUGGGGGUUUCGCACUAAAUAUCAGGAUAUGCUCAGCACCGUUAGCGGAACUUUGGGGAGUCUACUACGGCCUAUACAUAGCAUGGGAGAAGGGUAUAAGGCGAGUAGAUUUGGAAGUGGAUUCGGAGAUGGUGGGGAAUUUUCUUAAGACAGGGAUCGGGGAGGCCCAUCCACUGUCCUUCCUAGCACGCUUGUGCUAUGGCUUCUUAUCAAGGGACUGGAUAGUCCGGGUGUCACACGUGUAUAGAGAAGCGAAUCGUCUCGCAGACGGAUUAGCUAACUAUGCGUUUACUCUACCACUAGGCUUUCAUAUGUUAGAUGAUUGUCCGGAGUCUGUUAUUUCGGUUAUGUUAGAAGACAUUGAAGGGGUGUCGCGCCCCCGAAAUGUGCGUUUGUAAUUGUUCUUUUAUUUUAAUAAAUAACGGGAGACUUGUCUCCCCUCGGCUUACCAAAAAAAAAAAAACAACUAACGAUUCCAAAUCAAAUUAUAAUUAUAGAAUUACUAGAUAUAUGAUCAAUUUACUAUGUGUGGCUACACUAACCACAUUUAUCAUACUUAUACCAAUUAAUCUCCUUAAUUUCCAACACCACAUUUAUCAUAUUUAUACCAUUUAAUCUCCUUAAUUUACACCAUUCGAUCCGUAGUCACCAUUUGGAUUUUUUUAAUUUGUUUUUUUUUCUUGUUUGCCAAAUUUAUUUCGUAUUUUUAAAUAACAUAUAUAGGAUACGUGACAGAAAAAAAAUGCUUAGUCAGCUAAUCUAUCGGCACAUUUGUCACCUCAGCGAGAUUUGAAUCCGAUUAACUUUUAUUCAGAGUACAUUCUUCACACAAGACUUUUUAUUCAUAUAACUUUGGUACAUACAACACACACACAUGGCUUAGAGAGAAGCAAAGUAACCGUUGUUAUAAACAAAGUAAAUAUAUAUACAAAGUAAUAAAACACAUCUAAAAUCUCUAUGUUUUGAGAAGAUUAGAUUCAAUAUCUUUAGUGAGAUAGACUGCAAAAUCCAUGUAUUUGUUCGGAGCUGGAGAAUCUGCAUUAAGUUUCUCGUAUUCCCAGCUCCAUCUUGCUAUACUUCUUCCAUGAAGCUUUGGUAUGAUCUGAAGAUUACAUUUGAAGCUACUAUAGUUCUCCAUCACAUCUCCUUCGAACACAAACACAGUCAUCGAUUUGUUUGCCUCGUCUAUUACCACUCUCUCCUUCAUUUUCUCCACUUUUCCAUCUGUAACACAAACUCGUGAAAUCAGUUUGAUACAUAGAGUAGCUUAUAGUAAGAGGAGACAAAAGAAGUUAUGGUUUUAGUACCAACAGACAAAGUCCAGUUCUUGGUGCCUUUAGAGUCAUCACCAAUAUGCUCCUCCACGCUAAGUAUUUUCUCUGGAGAUAGCUUUGGUACGCUGCGUGAAGUAGACUUGAUAGCUUGGAAAAUCUUAUCAGCUGAUACAUUGAUCUCGACUUCUAUCAUGGAUUUCGCCAUCUGAGCCAUCACUUCUCUGUUGUUGAUCUUUUUGGUCUUAGUGUAGCUCUGAUUAUAAGUAGUCUUUUGGAGGAAGAAUCUGUACCAUGCCUAGCAUUUACGCUAGUUUUAUAUUAAUAGUUUCUUUGUUCUCUUCACAUACAAGACUCAUUUGGGGAAUUGAUUCACCGAGAAUCUGAAUCUCCACCCAAAAACUGUGAUAAAACUUUACAUAAUUCACAUUCCAAGCCUCAGGGGAACAAUAAGGCUCACCUCUUGAGACUUCGUAUAAGUCACAGAUGCAACAGUUAUGUUUCUCCUGAGCGGGUCGUAUGCCUUGGGUCUGACUGGCAUUUAAGCGAUUGAUCUCGUCCUGAGCGCAAGCUUGAGCUGCCGCCAAUGAUUCGAAUCGCAUGUUUGUUCUUGCUUCUUGCUGGCUCAGGUGCGUGAGGAUGUUCUGGAGCAGGUCGUUUGGUUCAGUUCGACCUUGGUUUCCUCUGACCGCUCCACCUUCAGCUUCAGUGUGUGAGGUCGAGAAGCGCUUUUGCUUGUUGGAAACAGGUCAACAAUCAAUUUCUUCUCUGCUCUCUUCACCUUCUAGGGGCUCUUUUGGUGGCGGUGAUGAACCAAACAACUGCACGGUUAGGCUGCCACCUGCAUGGGAUCAGAAGGUUGUCAUUAGCUGGAGCCUAACAGAUCAUUUUACUUUUCUACUCAACUGCUACAUAGCCUUAAAUACACUGGAUUCAGCCCAAAAUUGUGCUGUAAAAAACUUUUAAGGAACAAAUAUACAGGAGUGACAGGGAAAAUGACAAUUAGAUACCAUCUCGGACUUAUGUUGUCAGAUAUGGAUAACAUCUAGAAAAUGAAUAAAGAACCAGAUCCAGAUGGGCUGAAUUCUUGAAUUUACAGCUCGAUCCAACCAGUCGUUUCUCACCUCUCACCAAGGAUGAACCAUGCAAUCCCCGCACCCCAGAGAGGCUCCAAGCCAUAGAUUACUACAGUGUCACUAGUAGAUACAUCACACAUAGCAGUCAUCUGCAUGGACAGAACAAUUUAAAUGUAAAGAGAAUAUUACCAAAAUGAAAUUGAUGUAUACAACACCACAAAUGCAAAAGUGCAUUUGUGUAUUUUUCACAUGUGAGCUAUGCAUCAACAAAUGAUUAAAUUGAGAAACUAGAAAGAUAGAUUAGGGGAGGGCUAGAAAACUUAUUUACCUCUAUCCACAGGCAGACACCGGUUGAAAAAGCACCGGCGCAGGUAUACAUGGAAACGCAACCUUUCCAUUCCCAAGAUGAGUUCCAUGUCCAGGAAGAUGGGUAGACCAGCUCCCACCCGAAAUACCACACCAUCGAAAGGAGAGCAACCACACAUGUCUGAGUGGAUAUGGCAUACAUACAUAUACAAACAUACAACUCCUUCAAACCAUGAAAGUACAGCAUCACAAAAUACACUUAAACUAUAAAGCAGAGAGCUUUUCUGACCUCAUAGCCAAGAAGGGGCAAGAACUUGUCCUUAGGUGUUGUUCGUGAGAUAUAUUCAGUCCUCAGCAUAUGAACUCCGAAGAACACAACGUAGCUAGUCAGUCAAAGUCCUGAAAAGAAGAAAUUUUACUUGUCAACGGAACCUACACAUGGAGAAGAGCCACUAGAUUCCAGCAAUCCAGACUCCCAAGAUAGACACUAGAGCUCCAAACCACGUACGUGCAGGAAUUAUAGCUCCAAGCAUACCAUCAAGAAACGAAACCACAAUAAUCUGUCACAUUCAAGAAACAGUUUCUAAGCAAAAUCUAGAGCUCAAGGAGUGAACAAUCAAACCCAAAUUUCUACUAUAACUUGGAUCAACCCAAAUUCGAGAAAAAUACAGAACAGAGAUCAAAGAUUGAAACUUUAAAACUAUGCAGCGAUUCCAAAACACAUAUGUACACACAAAAACUAACAUAAACGUAGUAGAACACUUGGAGGGAAUAAUCAGAGCUUACCAUAAAUGAUUGUAAUGGCAUUGAGAAGAAGUAUGCUCCUAAAUUUCGUAGAAUCAAACAAGAUCUUUCACCACAGAGCUCGUUUACCAUACAAAGAUUUGAAAUUUAGGUAUAGUUUCUUGACUUCUUCUUAUGAGGGCCAAUCUCGUUCGAGGAUAACGAAUAAGGGUUUGAUUGGAAAUAGCCUGUGGUGAGGAGAAGCUACGAACUUGAUGACCGCCAUGGCAGAUCUAAAAGAACAUUUGACUAAGCUUUGUCUCUGCCGAUUUGUCUGGUCUUUUCCUGUUUCUCGUUUAAGCCACUGAACCAAAUUAGUAUAACCAUGGCGUCGUGUUAAGAUAUAUUCCAGUAAGACAGUGCCACGCGGACCAUUUAAAAAGACGCUCCACGUGUUAUUAUUUAAUUUGUGUACAGACAAAGCAUUUUUAAUUUUCUGAUUUUGUGGAGAAAUGAAAGUGAACAAAAUUGAAUGGUGAUUUUAAUAAUUAUCAAAUUUAACUGAUUUUUCUAACAUUUAGUGGUCAAAACAAACCCUUUUUGAAACAAAAUUCUUGGUGAGAAAAAAAUUAAUCUUCGCUUCAAAGUUCAAAUUAAUAACUUCAAACGUACAAGUGUGCAUACACGUACGUAUGACACACACCAACAGAUAUCUCUUACACAAGCUCGGACCAGUGCCGGCUCAAAUAGGGCGAGCGGUGCGAUAGUCAGGGAUCCAAUUCCGUGCUCCAAUAAUUAAGGGGCCCAUUUUAAUUUUUUUUUUAUAAAAGUAUUAAAAUUUUAAAUUACAACAUAAAAAUAAAAUUUAGAAGGGCCCAUAAAUUUUUUUAUUAUUGUUUUUAGUUUUAAUAAUUAACUUUUUAAUGAAAAUAUCAUACAAUUUUUUUAUAUAACACAAAUAACACCAAAAAAAAAAAUUCUAAGGGCCAAAAUUUUUUUUUGCCUAGGGCCUAUAAUACUGUUGAGCCGGCACUGGCUCGGACACGUACGGCUUACGUGCCUAAGACGUCGCGCACACACAUAUAUAUAUAUAUAUAUAGAAUAGAUACAUAUGAGGAUUCUUCCUCUCUAUUCCUCGGAUAAGAGAUGUUCAUCCAUCUCUUUAGAGACUUCAACAGCUAACUGGAGGAGAGUUUCAGGGUGAGCCACCUCUUCGUUGAUUUUCUCAUACUCAAAGUGCCAAUGUGCAACACUUCCAGGUUCUCCUUCUUUAGGGGUCACUUGGAAGGUCGUCACGAAACUCGUGUACUCUUUCAAUAAAUCACCCUCUACCACCUUAUACGUGACCCGAUUGUGAUCCGGAUCCAGUGACUCGAUCCUUUGUUUCGCCACCUUUGCCUCGCCAUCUACACCAAGAUUAACAUUCACAUAUAUAUAUAUUUAUAGGUUUCCAAAAUAAGAGAGGAUCUAAAGUAAUCUAUAUUAAUACAUCAUAUGCAUCAGGGGUGAUCCGAGCUGUUACCACCGGACCUCAGGAAUAGUAUAGCCGUUUGAUUUAUAUAAAUUUUCAUAAAUAUUUAUAUAAACAAAGAAAUAUAAAGUUAACUUGCCAUGAACGUAAUUCCAGAGGAUGACGGCGCCAACUUGGCCCAUUUCGCCUUCUUGCAGCUCAGCGCUCUGAAUGUUGGAUGGAGUUGCAUUGGACAUAUGGUGCGGUCUCCCGACAAGCAGGUCAUGGAACUUCUCCACCGAAGAUUUUAGCUCUACAGUUGUUUCAAUGAUCCCGACCAAACUAGAUGCCUCUUCCGCCAUUCUUUGUACCGCUGAUUUGUAAUUAAUGUCUCUAAGUGUUUCGAGUUUUUGAGAGUGAAUGGAUUCCCUUCUGAGCUCUUUUGCCUCCUUUAAAUAGAGGAAUGUGUAAACCGUGAAUAAGACUGAAUUUUAUUUAUUUGUGUUAUAUUAAUAAUAUUUUGAUUUGUUCUUUUUCCUAUGUGAUCACCUUUAUCCACCUGCCGCUAACUGAUAAGCCUGAAUUAAUUGAUAUUUUAAAUAUAGUUCGUAGCUCGUGUCAAACAAAAGAUUUUGGGGGAGUAUAGCAUUAGUGGGAAAGCAGUAAGAAGAUAAUUAGUAGUAAUAUCAAAUCAUGUGUUAGGGUUUCAAAACCAGAACCAAUGGGUUCAUAAAGAGUAUGUAUCCCUUCGCUAUUUCUGGAUAGAUACGGAGUUUUCUUUAACACCAUUUUUUUUUUUAAAUGAUACGGAGUUUUGAAGAGUAGUUUAAAGAUAAACCUUUGAUUGGUAUAGCUUGGAUGUGAAUGAUCAUUGAAUCCAUAUUAAAAAAAUGAUGAGAUUUAAAUAUUCAAAUAUUCAACUACACGAGUCAUUUUAUUCUUUCCGCUAAUAGUUGUUUUUUGUUGAUAAGCUUCUUGAAAAGUUCUUACUUUGUUGAAUAAAACUUUUAAAUACAUGUAUUAUUUAUUGGGUAUUUUAUAUUUCUAUAUAAUUCCUAAAAUAUCAUAUCCUUUUUUGUCAACUCUAGCAGAUCAUAAAUUUUGUAAAGGAAUACACGUUAUUUCAUAAUUUUAAUUGAUAAAUAAAAAAAUAGUAUGAAUUAUAGCUACGGUGAAUGUUCAAAUUAUGUUUUGGUUUUCUGACCCAAAGAGAUUGUGUGUUCAGACUUCAGACUCGAAGUAUCUUGGUUAUUAAAAAAUAAAACGGAGACCAAAUUUGGGAAUGUCAUCGUGACCCAUCUAUUUGAAAUAUGGAUAAGAAAUGGGAAGAUACAAUCAACGUAGAGGAUAGUAUCAUACAUAAACUCAACUAAGACACUUUGGGAGAAGUUCUCCUCCCAUUUAAAGAAACUUUUCAUAUUUUAAUAAUUAUAUUUAUGUGGGAAGACACUCAAAUUAAAUGUGCAAUGCAUAUGCUCUAUAGCUAUACUACUACGUACUACAUGUCGCUUCAAAUUAAAAAUUUCAAACAUAACUCAACCGAAGUAGUAUGCAUACACGCAUGCGCGAUGAGACACACAGACUGUUAUAAACUUGGGCACGGUUCAUUAUUUAUUUUACAUGUGGGUUCAAAGUACUAGAUCCUCUACUCUUCGGUCAAGAGAUGUUCAUCAAUCUCUUUGGACAUUUCAGCGGCAAACUGGAGGAGAUUCUCAGGAUGAGCUACCUCCUCGUUUAUUUUCUCAUACUCGAAGUGCCAGUGCACCACACUCCCUGACCCCUUAUGCUUAGGAGUCACUUGGAUUGUGAUCACAAAGCUCGUGUACUCUUUCAUCAGAUCACCUUCUAUAACCUUGAACGUGAUCAAGUUCUUCUCCGGCUCUACUGCCUCGAUCCUAUCCUUCACCACACUUACUUUUCCAUCUGCACCAAUUGUUUUAAUAUUUUACUACCCUAGAUUUGGCUUUACGAAUCAACAUGAGUAUUAUUUCAAAAACAAAUAUAUAUAUGUAUAUACUGUAAUCAUAGUAGUAGUAGUCACCGUGACGUCUUGUUAGUCAAUAUUUGAGAUCUAUUUCUGUUUCACACAUUUUUCUUAAUUAGUUACUAUGAAAUUUAUGUAGCAUUUAUUAAUUAGUUAAUAUAUAGGAUUUACUUGCCAAUAACGUAGUUCCAGAUGACGAUAGAGCCGACUUUGCCCCAGUCUCCUUCGUGUAGAUCACAGCCUUGAAUUUUGCUUGGAGUUGCUUUGGAGACAUGGUGUGGUCUCUCGACAAACAUGUGAUGGAACUUUCCAGCCGAAGCUUUGAUCUCAACUUCUGUCUCAAGCUUACCCACUAAACUAGACGCUUCUGCCAUGAGUUUUGCUUAUCUCAAGAAAAUAUAAGAUAAAGACUUAGGGAAGGAGUAUGUUUCUCUUCUUGAGUUCUUAGACCAUCAUUAACGGUGGUGCCUUAGCAUAAAUCUUAGGAAAUAAAGAAUUAAAAUUAAAUGAAAAAUGGUUUUAAUCUUAAGAACGUUGCUUAGUUAAGCAACAUUUAUUUAUCUAAGCGGCGGACAGGUGUCACUCAGAGACAAGAGAAAGAAAAAAUUGCCCCGAUUUCAUUCUGUCGUUUACGCGUUUCUCUCUCUCUCUCCAUGAUGAACAUCACAGACAAGGAGGAGGAGACUAGGAAGAUCGAUUUUAUCAAUCUCGAUUGAAAAAAAUGGUACGUUUUAUUAUUUCUCAGUUCAUCGUUUUAUUCAGUUAAUUGUUAUAUUUGUCAAUCGCUUGAUUUAACUUCUAUUCCUUGAGGUGGAAAAUUGGGGAUAAACCAUGUUUGUUUAUUGUAAUGGAUCUCCAAAGCCCUAAAAGUAUUUUUGAUUGAUUGUGAUUGUGAUUGCGAUUAGUAUGAAUCUCUUUGGAGAUUUAUGGUUUUCGAUGCUAGGAUUUGGUUCUUGGGUUUGAUUUUUUUGGAAUAAUUUGAUCUUUCGUGAUUAUCUCACUCGAUUAUCAUAUUGUUUGUUGGUAAUUUGAGAAUUUUUGUUAAUAACUUGAUUCGUUUUGACAAUUUGAUAAUUGCCAGGUUUUAGCUUGUUAUCGAAAUUGUCUCUAUGAUUUGGCUAAUCUAAUCAAUUGCUUGCGUUCUGUUUUUUUUUUUACCUUUUUGAUUAUUGAGGAUCAUAUCUGGUUUUGUGUUUUCAUUUACUGAAAGUUCGUGAUAUGAAUUCUAUUGUUAUGAUUGUUAUUACAAUAUAGUUUCGGAGAAUUUCCGGUUGUUGGAGGAGCUUGAACGUGGGGAGAAAGGUAUUGGGGAUAGAACUGUGAGCUAUGGAAUGGAUAAUGGAGAUGAUAUCUAUAUGCGUUCUUGGACUGGCACCACCAUUGGUCCUCACAACGUAGUUAUAUCUUUUUCUUUAUCUACUUUUGUCCUCAUAUCUGCAACUUAACUAUGUUAGCAAUUGUUUUAAGAAGCAUUGAUUAAAGUUCUAAGUUAUCUUCAUUACUAGUUCGAUUUUCCCUUCCUUCAUUGCUAGACUACAAAAAGUCAAAACCACAUUGUGUUUUAGGCAUCAAUCUUAUCGAUACAUGAUCUCUUACGCUGCAUUUUUUUCUUUUGCUUUUGUUUAGUCUUCCUGUUGUUUCCAGUUUCAUCUUUGUUUACGGUUUGGUUUGGACAAGUUUGGUUGGACCAGUUUCAUUAGUUUCAUCUUUGCUUUUCAAGUUUGGUUGGGUCAUCUUACAUGUGGAUCAUCUUUGUUCUCUAAUUAGCAACAUGUCUCUGUGAAUGAUUGCACACCACAAAACAUUAUUUUUAUAUCAUGUAUUUGUGUUCUUUUCCUAGUUUGUGUUCUUGUACCUAACUCUUUAUUUUUUUCCAUAUAUACAACACUUUUGUUUUACAAAAAACACAAACACUUCUCUCCAUCUCAUCAAACCACUCUUUCAUUGCUAUAUAUGUGUUGUAACCAAAUUUUUACUAACACUUUUAAGAACCAAAAAAUUUAACCAAAACACUUCAAAUUUAACCAAAACACUUACAAUUUUUAAGAACCAAAACAUUUAAACUUCAAAAAUUAAGUUUUCGUUUGCAACAGUUAUUAAGUUUUCUAAAAUUAAAAUUGUUAAAUUAAUUUCUUUUUAAAAUUAAUAUUUUUUUUCUAAGAACCACAUGUUAAGAGCCUACCAUUAAAGACACAUAAAUCUUAACCCAAAAAUGAAAACUCUUAACUAUCUUUUUUACAAAAUUAAUACUUAAAUACUCCUAAGAACCAACAUUAAGAGACCCUUGAUAAUUAUGCUCUUAGCCUCUAUUUGAAGAGGAAUGAGUGAGAAAGUACUGAAGAAUAAUUUUACCAAAAAUAAAUAAAAAAUUUGAAGAAUAGAAAGACAAAAGAAAGGUGUUGAAGAAUAGAUAGAUCUUUUUUGUGCCUUAUAAAUUAUAAUAUCAUGAUUAGCUUUAACAUCACGGUCCCAUUAUAUUAAUUGCCCUACCCAAUACUUUAUAGUUUAUUUGACGUUUUUUUUUUUUUUUUUUUGUGCACUUUUAUUUGACGUUUAACCUGCCAAACUAUAUGCGUUGCUCACUAUAUAUAUAUAUAUAUAUAUAUAUAUAUAUAUAUAUAUAUAUAUGGAUAUUAUAUUAUUGAUCGAUCACACAAUUCAUGCCGUUUCUUUCACUAUCAAGUUUUCUAAUCAAGGUAACACAAAUCGACAAAAACAAAUAAUAACCUUAUUAUAUAAAGUACGUCUAAAAGUCAGUAACUCAUAAAAUCGUUAUACGGGGUAAUUAUAUUGAUCUUAGAUUUUGAUAUGUAUAAAAAAAAAUAUCCUUUUUAAAACAAAAAAAAAGAUAAUUGUAAGUAAUUAUAAAUUUAAAUAAUUUUAAAAAUAUAAAAAAUAAUUAUAAGGAUAAUUAUAAAUAAUUAAUAUUUCUGUAAACAAUUUUAAAAAAGUCAAAAGAUAAUAAUAAGGAAAUUAUAUAUUUUUAUAAUUAAAAAUAUAUAUUCCAAUCAAACAAGAAACAAAUCAUGUAAAUUUAUUAAAAAGGAAACAUAUGUUAUUAUAUAACUAAUAUGAUAUAUUUUUGUUUCUCAAAGUUAAUAAUUAAUAAUAUCAUGAACCAUUAUCAGUCAAAGAUUUUAUCAUGUGUCAUGAUUUAAUUUAAAAUUUGAUAUUAUUUAUCUCAAUUUUCUUUCCAAUUAGAAAUAUGUGAUGAUUUGAUUAAACUAAUCCUCAUAUUAUUUAUUUGAGUUUAUUUUUUCAAUUAGAAAUAUGAGAGAUCAAUUUUUUCCUUUUUGUAAUAUUUUUUACUUAACUGUGUUUUUUUGUUUGUCCUCAAUUAUGAUUAUAGUAUUGUUAGAUUGUUUAUUUAAUUUUUUUCAUAUUUAAAUUAUCAAAUAUUAAUAUAUCAUCAUGUUUAUAAUUUUUUUGUUUUUAGUUUAACUGUUGUAUCUUUAAAUUAUUUAUUUUGGUUUCUACGUUCAGUUUAAAUUAUAUAAGAUAUAAUAUAUCAUAGUUCUAAUGAUUUUAGAGAGAGAUAUGUGUCAUGAUUUAAAUUAAAAAUUUACAUUAUUUAUAUCAAUUUUAUUUUCUAAUUAGAAAUAUGUGAUGAUUUUUAAGUAAAAUUUUAUAUUGUUUAUUUGAAAUUCUUGAAUAUGUAAGAACCAUAUAUGCUUCUUGAUUUUGAUAUUUUGAAUUUAAUUAUACUACUUCAAAGUUAUUUAUUUAAAUUUUCUAUGUUCAUAUUUGAAUUAUAUAAGAUUCAGAUAUCAUCGUGCUUAUAAUUUUCUGAAUUUAUCAAUUUUUAUUGAUUGAACAUAAAAUCAUUGCAAUCGAGUAUAUAGGAAUCGAAACCGCAACAUUAGCUUGGAAGGCUAAGGGAUUUAGUUGAUUUAUCAUCUUUAUAUUUUUAACGUGUCUAAUUAAAAACCACUUUGGUUUCAUUCACCAAGUUUAUGAUAAAUAUUUUUAAUUUUAGUUCUUCAUAUAAGUAUACCAUGAGUUAUUGCUAACAGUACAAAAGUAAAUAUUUUUUUACUUUUGAAAAAAAAUUUCUACUUAUAACGUUGUUAAUUAAUUUUUUUUUGUUAAAUUUGAUUUUAAUUUAAAAAAAAAUUAAACCCGUUAGUGGUUUAAAAUUUGUAAUAUCCGCCUAUAUAUUUUUCUUAUAGAUUCAAACUAAAGUCGGUCGCAUUUCAUAAUCGUCACUUCUUUCUGUCUGUUGCCGGGUAAAGGUCAAUUCAACUGUUGAGCAUUAAUUAAAUAUCAAAUUUUUCUAUUUCUCCCGCGCAUUGACAAAAUAUGCAUUAGGUUUUUUGUAAUAACUAGCAAAACUAAACUUUUUUUCAAUCGUUUUUUGACCCUCAGAGACAAACCUCCUUAUUAUCUAUUUCUUCAGCACAAAUUCACUAUAAAAAAAUGUUUUCUUGACUCUGACAUUAAAAUUAAAAUUAGUUUUCAGUAAGAGAUAAAAAAUAUAUAACAAAGGAAAACAUAGUUCCGAUCUGUUUCGUGGCUUUGGUGGAUAGGCCCGGCAUAUACUUUGAUUAAUUUUAGAGUAAUUACACUACAUACCCUAAGUAUUUAAGUCAAAGGAGAAGUGGCAAACCUGUAAAUAAAUGAUCAACUGAAAACAUGAUAAAAAGACUAAAAUACCCCUAAAAUCAAACACUUCAUUCUUUCUUCCUUCCUUCUUUGUUUCUCUUUACUUUUAUUAUUUAUUUUUUUCUUUAUCUUUUUUCUUUACUUUAUGAUAACCCCAAACAAAUGAUUAUUCUUAAUUGUGAAACUAAUUGCAUCUAAAAUUAUGAUAUUUUGAAUUCAUUAAACUCGUCGCAUUUUUCUGAUUAAAAUAAACUCAAUAAACCUUAAAAAAUUUCGAUAUAGAGACGUCGUAUGUUUGGAUGUCGUUCGUUAUUAUUGAGCUUCUGUUAGAUAUGAUUUGAGACACCGUCAACCGACGACGCUAAGAACAAAUAACGUUUUUCACUACAGCUACUGGGAUUAUUGUGGGUUAUGCUUAUUUCUUGAUGACUUCAAGAGACCCAACAUAUCAAGAUUUCAUGAAAAGGUUGUUUCUUUCUAGGCAGAGGAAGUUGCUUAAGAGUCAUAAGUUUGAUGUUGAGAGGUUUAAGGAACUUGAGAAUAAGUGGAAGAUAAUGUCUUGAAUCGUGUUGGUGUUGAUCUUGAGUUGGAGGAUUAUUUGCAGAGUCGUCAUAGAGAUUGAUUGGUUUUUUAUGAUCACAUCAGUUUCUGGUUUUUCUAACCAUUCUCUUUUUGAUUAUAUAUCAUGAUAUAUAAUGAUAUAUCGGGAAAUACACAUGUAUCUUAUUUCAGGGGUAAAUUCGUCCGAUUUUUUCAAAACCAAAGAUUUCUCUCUCUUAUUUUGCAAAGAAUAAAAGUUGUGUAUGUACAAGCUAAUUAUUUCUCAAAUAAUUAGCAUACAGCUAAUUGACUCUUAAUUUUAUCUUCAUUAUAUCACGUAGCAAAAAGGCGGAGAUUAAUUUUCAAAAAUAAAAAAUCAAAAUCAAAAUAUAAAAUAUUAUAAACCAAACAAGAGGAUCGUAACAUACAUAAGCUUUGAAGUUAUUUCGCUAAUACUACCACACGUUCCAUCAGACUGAACUUCAAACAUAACUCAACCGUAGUAGUAAGCAUACACGCAUGACACACACCAACACAUAUAUCUCUUACAUAUACUCCGACCGUUCAUUAUUUAUUGCAGGUUCAAAGACACACACACAUACGAGGAGUAAUUUUCUAUUCCUCGGACAAGAGAUGUUCGUCGAUCUCUUUGGAGAUCUCGACACAGAAUUGGAGGAGAGUUUCGGGAUGAGCCACCUCCUCGCUAAUUUUCUCAUAGUCAAGGUGCCAGUGCACAAUACUCCCUGGCGCUCCUUGUUUAGGGGUCACUUGGAUUGUGAAUGCGAAGCUCUUAUAUUCUUUCAUCAGAUCACCUUCUAAAACCUUGAACGUGAUCAGGUUCUUCUCCGGAUCCACCGCAUCGAUCCUAUUCUUUGCCACUGUUAACUUUCCAUCUGCACCAAUUUUUCAACAUUUUACUUCCCUAGGUUUAACUUUACGAAUCAACACGCAAAGAAAAAGAAAUAUAGGAUUUACUUGCCAUG